Bubalus bubalis (water buffalo) is the source of this 598-nucleotide long non-coding RNA. RefSeq lists it as uncharacterized. Lineage: Eukaryota; Metazoa; Chordata; Mammalia; Artiodactyla; Bovidae. The transcript is spliced from 3 exons. The record is from RefSeq and is a predicted model, not a curated record.
CUUUUUCGUCCUGUAAGCGUCCGGUUUAGGCUAAGACGGUUGGUUGUGGUUGUUUUGUGAGGUAAAGUAACAAGGAACACGGCUUUUCGGCCUAGUUUAAGAUGCAGGAGAUGCAGCGGUCUUGUAGUAGUAGAUCGACGUUAGCUUUGAAAACGUCUAGGUUCAGAAGCUUGAGUGAACUGCAUGUUCGUUCGUUAGCGGCGCCACGUGCAGCCCCGGGCGCUGAGUCGGAAGCCAGUCGCGCGUGGGUUGUGGGCCCUCCGGCAGAGGUUAAAUACCGCUGAUGACCCGGGUGAAGAAGGUCAUGCGUUGUACUGUCGGUGCCAUGUGGCCAUCUUGAAUCUGUUACUCUGCCACUCUGAAGAGUAACACCGCAUCCUGACGAGCCGCCAGUUUGAUCCAGGUGGAAGCUGAGCGAAUUGUUCCAGUGGAUGAUGGAAAGCAUAACGAGAUACACCAAGAAAUCCAAAGUGAUGUGGGUGAAGUUUGAGCAUCCUGCAGUACACUGCCAAAUGUGAUUUUAAAUCUCGUGUAUGGUAUUUAAAUAGAAAAUAAAAGCGUGCUGCUUUUAUUUAUGUAAUAAAAUGCUUGAUUUGUA